This 435-nucleotide ribosomal RNA is filed under the name uncultured bacterium. RNAcentral's name for it is "bacterial SSU rRNA". It matches the Rfam family "Bacterial small subunit ribosomal RNA", at positions 954 to 1392 of the family's 1533-position model. The record is from RNAcentral.
GCUUAACGCGAAGAACCUUACCCACCUUUGACAUGUACGGAACUUGCCAGAGAUGGCUUGGUGCCCGAAAGGGAGCCGUAACACAGGUGCUGCAUGGCUGUCGUCAGCUCGUGUCGUGAGAUGUUGGGUUAAGUCCCGCAACGAGCGCAACCCUUGCCAUUAGUUGCUACGAAAGGGCACUCUAAUGGGACUGCCGGUGACAAACCGGAGGAAGGUGGGGAUGACGUCAAGUCCUCAUGGCCCUUAUAGGGUGGGGCUACACACGUCACACAAUGGCUGGUACAGAGGGUUGCCAACCCGCGAGGGGGAGCUAAUCCCACAAAGCCAGUCGUAGUCCGGAUCGCAGUCUGCAACUCGACUGCGUGAAGUCGGAAUCGCUAGUAAUCGCGGAUCAGAAUGUCGCGGUGAAUACGUUCCCGGGUCUUGUACACACCG